UCCAGCUCCAAUAGCGUAUAUUUAAGUUGUUGCAGUUAAAAAGCUCGUAGUUGGAUCUUGGGAUGUAAAGGUCAGUCCGCCUACUCGGUGUGCACCUGCCCUUCCGUCCCUUUUGUCGGCGGCGUGCUCCUGGCCUUAAUUGGCUGGGUCGCGGUUCCGGCGCUGUUACUUUGAAAAAAUUAGAGUGCUCAAAGCAAGCUUAUGCUCUGAAUACAUUAGCAUGGAAUAACGUGAUAGGAGUCUGGUCCUAUUGUGUUGGCCUUCGGGACCGGAGUAAUGAUUAAUAGGGACUGUCGGGGGCAUUCGUAUUUCAUUGUCAGAGGUGAAAUUCUUGGAUUUAUGAAAGACGGACCACUGCGAAAGCAUUUGCCAAGGAUGUUUUCAUUAAUCAAGAACGAAAGUUGGGGGCUCGAAGACGAUCAGAUACCGUCCUAGUCUCAACCAUAAACGAUGCCGACCAGGGAUCGGCGGAUGUUGCUCUAAGGACUCCGCCAGCACCUUCUGAGAAAUCAGAGUGUUUGGGUUCCGGGGGGAGUAUGGUCGCAAGGCUGAAACUUAAAGGAAUUGACGGAAGGGCACCACCAGGAGUGGAGCCUGCGGCUUAAUUUGACUCAACACGGGGAAACUUACCAGGUCCAGACAUAGUAAGGAUUGACAGAUUGAGAGCUCUUUCUUGAUUCUAUGGGUGGUGGUGCAUGGCUGUUCUUAGUUAGUGGAGCGAUUUGUCUGGUUAAUUCCGAUAAUGAAGGAGACCUCAGCCUGCUAACUAGCUACGUGGAGGUUCCCCUUCGCGGCCAGCUUCUUAGAGGGACUAUGGCCGUUUAGGCCAUGGAAGUUUGAGGCAAUAAC
RNAcentral lists this ribosomal RNA (849 nucleotides) under uncultured eukaryote. RNAcentral's name for it is "SSU rRNA". It matches the Rfam family "Eukaryotic small subunit ribosomal RNA", at positions 584 to 1457 of the family's 1831-position model. The record is from RNAcentral.